RNAcentral lists this ribosomal RNA (253 nucleotides) under uncultured bacterium. RNAcentral describes it as "partial 16S ribosomal RNA". It matches the Rfam family "Bacterial small subunit ribosomal RNA", at positions 524 to 776 of the family's 1533-position model. The record is from RNAcentral.
UACGUAGGGUGCAAGCGUUAAUCGGAAUUACUGGGCGUAAAGCGUGCGCAGGCGGUGAUGUAAGACAGGUGUGAAAUCCCCGGGCUUAACCUGGGAACUGCAUUUGUGACUGCAUCGCUGGAGUGCGGCAGAGGAGGAUGGAAUUCCGCGUGUAGCAGUGAAAUGCGUAGAUAUGCGGAGGAACACCGAUGGCGAAGGCAAUCCCCUGGGCCUGCACUGACGCUCAUGCACGAAAGCGUGGGGAGCAAACAGG